UGGACUUUGAACCGAUCUGUGUAGGAUAGGUGGGAGGCUAUGAAACCGGAACGCUAGUUUCGGUGGAGCCGUCCUUGAAAUACCACCCUGGUUUGUUUGAGGUUCUAACCUUGGCCCGUGAUCCGGGUCGGGGACAGUGCAUGGUAGGCAGUUUGACUGGGGCGGUCUCCUCCCAAAGCGUAACGGAGGAGUACGAAGGUACGCUAGGUACGGUCGGAAAUCGUGCUGAUAGUGCAAUGGCAUAAGCGUGCUUAACUGCGAGACCGACAAGUCGAGCAGGUGCGAAAGCAGGUCAUAGUGAUCCGGUGGUUCUGUAUGGAAGGGCCAUCGCUCAACGGAUAAAAGGUACUCUGGGGAUAACAGGCUGAUACCGCCCAAGAGUUCAUAUCGACGGCGGUGUUUGGCACCUCGAUGUCGGCUCAUCUCAUCCUGGGGCUGUAGCCGGUCCCAAGGGUAUGGCUGUUCGCCAUUUAAAGAGGUACGUGAGCUGGGUUUAAAACGUCGUGAGACAGUUUGGUCCCUAUCUGCCGUGGGCGUUGGAUAUUUGAAGGGGGCUGCUCCUAGUACGAGAGGACCGGAGUGGACGAACCUCUGGUGUACCGGUUGUCACGCCAGUGGCAUCGCCGGGUAGCUAUGUUCGGAAGAGAUAACCGCUGAAAGCAUCUAAGCGGGAAACUCGCCUUAAGAUGAGAUAUCCCUGGGGACUAGAUCCCCUUGAAGGGUCGUUCGAGACCAGGACGUUGAUAGGUCGGGUGUGUAAGCGCAGUAAUGCGUUCAGCUAACCGAUACUAAUUGCCCGUAAGGCUUGAUCCUAUAACA
RNAcentral lists this ribosomal RNA (819 nucleotides) under Burkholderia cenocepacia. RNAcentral describes it as "bacterial LSU rRNA". It matches the Rfam family "Bacterial large subunit ribosomal RNA", at positions 2118 to 2925 of the family's 2925-position model. The record is from RNAcentral. Lineage: Bacteria; Pseudomonadati; Pseudomonadota; Betaproteobacteria; Burkholderiales; Burkholderiaceae.